GUCGAACGGGAACCUUCGGGUUUUAGUGGCGGACGGGUGAGCAACGCGUGAGAAUCUGCCUUCAGGAUGGGGACAACAAUUGGGAACGAUUACUAAUACCCGAUAUGACGAAAGUUGAGAGAUUUAUCGCCUGGAGAUGAGCUCGCGUCAGAUUAGCUAGAUGGUGUGGUAACGGCGCACCAUGGCGACGAUCUGUAGCUGGUCUGAGAGGAUGAGCAGCCACACUGGGACUGAGACACGGCCCAGACUCCUACGGGAGGCAGCAGUGGGGAAUUUUCCGCAAUGGGCGCAAGCCUGACGGAGCAAUACCGCGUGAGGGAGGAAGGCUCUUGGGUCGUAAACCUCUUUUCUCAGGGAAGAACAAAAUGACGGUACCUGAGGAAUCAGCAUCGGCUAACUCCGUGCCAGCAGCCGCGGUAAUACGGAGGAUGCAAGCGUUAUCCGGAAUGAUUGGGCGUAAAGCGUCCGUAGGUGGUUAUGUAAGUCUGUGGUUAAAGCGUGGGGCUCAACCCCAUAAGGGCCAUGGAAACUACAAGACUUGAGUAAAGUAGGGGUAGAGGGAAUUCCCAGUGUAGCGGUGAAAUGCGUAGAGAUUGGGAAGAACACCGGUGGCGAAAGCGCUCUACUGGACUUAAACUGACACUGAGGGACGAAAGCUAGGGGAGCGAAAGGGAUUAGAUACCCCUGUAGUCCUAGCCGUAAACGAUGGAUACUAGGUGUUGCCCGUAUCGACCCGGGCAGUGCCGUAGCUAACGCGUUAAGUAUCCCGCCUGGGGAGUACGCACGCAAGUGUGAAACUCAAAGGAAUUGACGGGGGCC
RNAcentral lists this ribosomal RNA (819 nucleotides) under uncultured bacterium. Its description in RNAcentral is "bacterial SSU rRNA". It matches the Rfam family "Bacterial small subunit ribosomal RNA", at positions 61 to 921 of the family's 1533-position model. The record is from RNAcentral.